AAUUACUUGGGCCAGGGGAAUUCAAACUGUGAUCGCAAUGCAAAAAGUUUGUUCGUUUGGCUUAAGUUAUUU
Non-coding RNA from Drosophila pseudoobscura pseudoobscura, 72 nucleotides. NCBI's taxonomy places the organism in Eukaryota, Metazoa, Arthropoda, Insecta, Diptera, Drosophilidae. The record is from Rfam.